UACGUAGGGGGCAAGCGUUGUCCGGAAUCAUUGGGCGUAAAGAGCGUGUAGGCGGUCCGGUAAGUCGGCUGUGAAAGUCCAGGGCUCAACCCUGGGAUGCCGGUCGAUACUGCCGGACUAGAGUUCGGAAGAGGAGAGUGGAAUUCCCGGUGUAGCGGUGAAAUGCGCAGAUAUCGGGAAGAACACCUAUGGCGAAGGCAGCUCUCUGGGACGGUACUGACGCUGAGACGCGAAAGCGUGGGGAGCGAACAGG
This 253-nucleotide ribosomal RNA is filed under the name uncultured bacterium. Its description in RNAcentral is "partial 16S ribosomal RNA". It matches the Rfam family "Bacterial small subunit ribosomal RNA", at positions 524 to 776 of the family's 1533-position model. The record is from RNAcentral.